RNAcentral lists this non-coding RNA (45 nucleotides) under Schistosoma mansoni. The record is from RNAcentral. Lineage: Eukaryota; Metazoa; Platyhelminthes; Trematoda; Strigeidida; Schistosomatidae.
AUCCAGAUAACGAGUCUCAAAUAGAACGAAAUGUUCGUCCUGGAU